Molecule: antisense RNA, 72 nt
Filed under: Nocardia sp. NRRL S-836
Lineage: Bacteria; Bacillati; Actinomycetota; Actinomycetes; Mycobacteriales; Nocardiaceae
Description: ASpks TB sRNA
Rfam family: ASpks TB sRNA
Source: Rfam by way of RNAcentral
CUUGACCGUGCCGAGCCACAACGGCCGGUCCGCAGGGCGCUGCCCGUAGGUCGCCAACAACGCCUGCGCCUC